RNAcentral lists this ribosomal RNA (253 nucleotides) under uncultured bacterium. RNAcentral describes it as "partial 16S ribosomal RNA". It matches the Rfam family "Bacterial small subunit ribosomal RNA", at positions 524 to 776 of the family's 1533-position model. The record is from RNAcentral.
UACGUAGGGUGCAAGCGUUAAUCGGAAUUACUGGGCGUAAAGCGUGCGCAGGCGGUUUUGUAAGACAGAUGUGAAAUGCCCGGGCUUAACCUGGGAACUGCAUUUGUGACUGCAAGGCUAGAGUUUGGCAGAGGGGGGUAGAAUUGCAGGUGUAGCGGUGAAAUGCGUAGAGAUGUGGAGGAACACCAGUGGCGAAGGCGGCUUUCUGGUCUGUAACUGACGCUGAGGCGCGAAAGCUAGGGUAGCAAACGGG